Molecule: long non-coding RNA, 2196 nt
Organism: Carassius gibelio (silver crucian carp)
Lineage: Eukaryota; Metazoa; Chordata; Actinopteri; Cypriniformes; Cyprinidae
Exons: 4
Source: RefSeq, a predicted model, not a curated record
AGUUCUGACAGAGAUGUGGUAGAAAUUUCAUCCAGGUAAAAAUAGGGAUUAACCCUUAUCACAGUUGAUCCCGUCAGCGUGGCUCUUAACCUCAGGUUGCUGCAGAUGGGGGUCUUCCUUACAAUUACUUACUUUUUUUCCCAGACAAAGUAACCAAAAGGAAGCAGCACCUUAGAGGAGUUUAGUUGCCUUUGUGAGGACAGACCAUAUAUGGGCGUAUUCCGGGGAUGACAUCAAGAAGCACAGGCGUGAAUGGACUUGCCUGCUUGGGUGAAUGACCUCUGUGCACAUGCAGGAUGAUGGAUCAGGCCAAUCCCCAACAGAUGUCUGUUUGCUGAGGACUGAAACCCUGAAACUUAAAGGAUGGAAGGAAUUUGCAGUGAGAUGUCGCCCCCAGAGAGCCUCUGUGUGCACUGAGAGAAUAAAAUCAUCAAACUAUCAACAAUUACAGGACAAAGGUGAGGGGAAAUUAAGCUACUGUAUAUGUGUGUCAUGGAAACAUGAUAGGGAGAGGCAAAUAUUUUCCAUUGUAAUUCCAUUGUAAAACUUAUGAAGCAGGAGGCUUUAAGCAUUCAGUGUUUGUAACAUCCACAUGUGGAAAGGGAGGCUCUGUUUCCAGUGACACGGUUCAGACUAGGGGAAUCCCCUCCCGGGAAUGGCUGAGGAAUCAAAUCCACUCUGGAUCUCACAUUAUUGGAUUUUGUUAGACAUUAAAUGAAAACGCAAGACUAGACUAACAUUAUAGUUCCAGAAAGAUUGCAGAACAGAAGACUAGACACAAAAAAUAACCCAGUGUGUCACAUUAACGGUGACUUAAAAAAAGUCGCCCUUUUACUUCAAUGUUAAAUCAGUGUCACUUCACAAUCACUUCAUCUAUGAUAUCACCCUUUCUCAAAAACUCUGAUGUGUCACAUCCCCAGUUGUAUGGUUUACGAAUACAAAUGAUGAUGUCUGGAUUUUUAAUAAGUAGUUUGUAUUAGUGUCUGAUCACGACCAUAUGUUGGUAAGCAUUAUGCAAUGCUUCAGAACUGCUGUAGUUGCGAUUUCAUUGGCUUAUGAUGACAUGUUUCACUGUUAGUUAUUCUUAGAGACACCCACGAUUGGUUUCUACUACAAAACCCUUAUCUGUAGGGAGGCGAUAAUCUCAGAAAGCAUGACAGCCACAUUUAUUUUUGGUAUCUCUUCCUACCCCCUGCAAUAAUAAACUGCUUUUUGUUCAUGCCCACUCCCUCACUUUGAUGUUAGUAUGGCAUUUGAUCAACACGGCCCCAAGGAAUGCUGGGAAGGCUUUGAGAUUCUGUGGUGACACCAUAAAACAACACAAAGGCAUGUGAGAAAUUGAAAGUCAAAUGCUUGAGCUGAAGGAGAAGGUGAUGACAUAUUGCAUUGUGACUGAUUAUUCUGAAAGUCUAAUUUUGAGAAUGACAGACUGAUAAGAAAAGCGAUUAGUACAUAAACUUUUGACUUUUUUUUAUUAGUAAAAAGUCAAUCAGCAUAGGCGAUGCUCCUGGAGUGAUGACACAACACUCAGAAUUAAUGUGACAUGACCGCAUUUACAGUGAGAACAAUACACUUUGAACACAUCUCUUGUUAUUGUCAGGAAAAUCUGCUUUUUGUUUUCUUUUCCUGUUUCUUUUCUUUUGCUUUGUGGCUUCUUCCCUCUCACGCUCUCUCCUUAUCACGUCCACACACAUGUUGACCUUACAAAUAACUUCGUUAUCACCUUAAAGCACUUUCUAAUUUCUGCCGAUAUUGCACUGCUUACUCAGUUAAUCAGUAUGGCGCCAUUAGUGAUGAAAGUCCAAGUGCCAUGUUAAACAACUGGAAAAUUAAAGACAUUUAUUACCAGACCAGAGAUGCAUCAAACUAGUCACAUCACAUUAAUCACGCCACACAAAUUGAUGCAUCCUGAAUUGCCUCUGUGCUGAAAUUAAAAGAUUGUUAUUAUUAUUUAAUUUUUUUAAUUUUGAUAGCCCCACACUGUAAAUUGUAUUGAUUACAAAAAAAGACUUUGAAAUGUUACAUUAAAACAGGUUAGUUGAUUAACUGUUAAUUGCCAUAUAUGGUGAAAAAUUGUAAAAGUUUCAAGAUUGAAUUAUAUGUAUUGUUAUUGUAAAAUACUGUCCUAUGUAUGCUUUUUGGAAGCAUACACUAUGGAUUGCCAUGUAAUGUAUGAUUAAAAAUAGUAAAAGGACA